This is a long non-coding RNA of Solanum lycopersicum (tomato), 889 nucleotides long. RefSeq lists it as uncharacterized. The record is from RefSeq and is a predicted model, not a curated record. Lineage: Eukaryota; Viridiplantae; Streptophyta; Magnoliopsida; Solanales; Solanaceae.
UUAGUUCGAAAAGUUUCUGGGGUGUUACAUGUGCCUCAACAUGUGUGGGCAAUUUUUCAUUUUUGAGGCUCCAACAUUGGGUAAGACGGGCCCUGAUCUGCCUGAUACUUUGUGAAAUUAGGUCUUAGUCCUAACUCACACCCCAAAAGUUAGCUCAAAGGGAGAAGUAUUGUCGAAGCAUUAUAAGGAGUUCACCCAUUUCAUUAACCACGUGGAACGUUUGUCAUUCUUUAACAGUCAAAAUAACUCAGGGCCACCGGAAAAUGUCUCAUCAAGUCACUCAAACUUUUGUGACAAUUUUAUUCUCCGUCAUGAUUUCUUUGCUGAGAUUUGUGUUUCCACGAAUUCAAAUUUUGAAUUCUUGGAGCCCAAAUUGACUAUAAGAAGGGGAGGCAGAUUCAGAUCCAAAAACGUCCAAACAAAAUCCAAAGAGAAAAACAAGUAAGAAAAUCCAAGAACCAAAUGAAUAAUCCGCGAACUAGUUAUUCUCUUUAGUUCUCUGUUUCUUUUUUUUUUUUUUGAGUUGAAGAGGGAGUUUAAGUUUGAAUCUUGGCGUCCAAGCUCUUGUUUGCUGCUCUCGAAAAGACGCAGGUAACGAGGAUUGGCAUCCAGCGCACCGUUGAUCCAGUUGAUCACUUCAGAGUCAAUUGGUGAACCUAUUUGCAACCCGGAGGACUAUUAUUUUUUAAUUGCUUUCAGUAUUUUUCUUUAUUAGGAUGUUGAGGGGGCUUUCCCAACAUCCAUCUCAGUUUUAGAGGCUUCAUAGGUAGACAGUCAGAUGUUAGUCCUUUAGUCUUUUCAUUAUCUUUCUAUUGGUUAAGACUUGGGUUGCCACUUUUGGCCAAUUGAAUGUUUAAUCUUUAAAACAUUCUCAGUUUUAUCAGUUCAA